This is a long non-coding RNA of Phragmites australis (common reed), 1739 nucleotides long. RefSeq lists it as uncharacterized. The transcript is spliced from 5 exons. NCBI's taxonomy places the organism in Eukaryota, Viridiplantae, Streptophyta, Magnoliopsida, Poales, Poaceae. The record is from RefSeq and is a predicted model, not a curated record.
UCUUCCACAGUCUCGGUGGUUGUGUCCUCUCCAGGCAAAUACGCGCUUCCUCAGGUGCCACCGUGCGAUUCUGCCACCCUCACUUCGGCUCUCCGCCGCCGCCGUCCUCGCCUCCGGCACCCGUCACCGCACGCCGAAGCCGUCCUCACCCCGAUAGAGUACAGACAUGGGAUCAUUUACAGAAGAGAAGAAGACUACUUUUUCUUGCGAGAGAUGAGGUGCUUAUUUUGUAGCAUCGCUGCUUAAGGUGGCCUCUGGUGCUUAACAUGCUUAAGGAGGCACAUCGAAUUGAUAGAUAGCACGCCAAUCCAUCAUAGCACAUACUUAGGUUUUAGAGAUGGUUGCAUUAGAGAAGGAAGAGGGCGCUUAUAUGGCUACAUUAUCUCUCUUUGAGCACCCAUGUGGCCAUGUAAGAGCACUUUGCAUUUCAGAUGCCUUAAUGAGGACCACAGUUACUGAAAAAAUAGAAGAAAUAUGUGCUGAGAGGACCACCCAACUUGCAAGAGAGUGGUAUACGGAUGAAGUCAAGAAAUAUGCACCGGUGGCCAUCUCUAUUACUGUGGCACCAUGCAACACGUUGAUCCUAGAGGAUCCUUUGACAGAAUGAUAUAUCGCUACUUUGAUGUACAGCAACAUGCUCGAUGCUGAGGGAACCAUCAUCCUUCCGAGGCAUCGCUGUAUACAAUUCGUCAUGGAAUCAAUCCGUCAGGAGCCACGAAUGCAAACGUCCUUGUUGCAGGAGCCAUGAGUGCCCCUUGAGAAGUUGAGGAGUCAAGAACUAAGCAAACACUGAAAAGAAUCGAAAGGAUUCUGGAGCAAUGGAGAUUGCUCUACAGAACACUAGCUUUCUCUCUCUCCCUUUCUUUUCCAGGUGAAGUAUCAAGGCAGAUAUAGGGGAUAAGGAUAUCUCUAUCCAAAUAUUCAUUCUUCCGUGCUUGCGCUGAGUGUUUGCGUCAUGUAUGAAAAAAAUGAAAAAAAGAAGGGAAAAGAUCAGAUAAUAUCUGACUUUCUUCAUAUGCCUGCAGCAUCAUACAGGUAGAUAGCAACUGUGCCACGACAUCUUUUUGCUCUAACCUUCCUAGCUUUAGCUCGUAGAAGAGUUUUGUAGGGAAGGAUUCAGUGAGGGUAUGAAAAAGCAAGAUUGCACCGUCGGAUCGUGGCAUCGCAACGCCUCAUAUCAGAUAAGGUCAGGCUGGUUUACAAGCAGAAGCAGCUCAAUCUGCUGAGAAAAGCCGCGGGCAAGUUGGUCAGAUUCCGUGCCACAGAUAAGGCCGGUCAGUGAGGUGAUGAGGGCUGGCUAUUUGGAUGCUAUUCUGAAACCUGAGGUGAUCGAUCCCUUGUUCCUUAGAAACCGGCUUGAUCAGGUCAGAAUCGGUUCCAUGUGUCGUAUGACGAAGCAUUGGCCGUACCAUACUGGUAUUCCCCAUCUUCUUCGGCACAGUUCUUGCUAUGACACACGCAUUUUCUGUAGAGUUGUGUUGGGAGUAGCGGCGUCUGUGGUGUUUUUCAGGCUGAGGUAGGCGUGCACUGUGGCCUGUGGCAGGUGGAGAAUGCAGGAAAUUUCAUCACUGCAAUUUGCUGUGCCAGUAAAUACAACUUUCAGAAUUAUAGUCGAUACGAUUGUGCAUCCUUAUAACUCUAUACUAACAGCUCAUUCUGAUGAGGUCUGUCUGAUUUAACUGAGAGACAAAAAGAAAAAAAUGUAAUUCCCGUUUGGAAUGGGGAAACUUUCACGACUC